UGCCAGACUCCUACGGGAGGCAGCAGUGAGGAAUAUUGGUCAAUGGCCGGAAGGCUGAACCAGCCAAGCCGCGUGAAGGACGAAGGUGCCAAGCAUUGUAAACUUCUUUUGUCAAGGGACAAAAUCAGGCUCGAGAGCCUGACCGAGGGUACUUGAAGAAAAAGCAUCGGCUAACUCCGUGCCAGCAGCCGCGGUAAUACGGAGGAUGCGAGCGUUAUCCGGAUUUAUUGGGUUUAAAGGGUGCGUAGGUGGUUAAUUAAGUCAGCGGUGAAAGUUUGUGGCUCAACCAUAAAAUUGCCGUUGAAACUGGUUGACUUGAGUAUAUUUGAGGUAGGCGGAAUGCGUGGUGUAGCGGUGAAAUGCAUAGAUAUCACGCAGAACUCCGAUUGCGAAGGCAGCUUACUAAACUAUAACUGACACUGAAGCACGAAAGCGUGGGGAUCAAACAGGAUUAGAUACCCGAGUACA
Molecule: ribosomal RNA, 468 nt
Filed under: uncultured bacterium
Lineage: Bacteria
Description: bacterial SSU rRNA
Rfam family: Bacterial small subunit ribosomal RNA
Source: RNAcentral